GUCUCUGUAGCGCAAUGGAUAGCGUGUUGGACUUCUAAUCGAAAGACCAUGGGUUCGAAUCCCAUCUGGAGUG
Trichonephila clavipes is the source of this 73-nucleotide non-coding RNA. Lineage: Eukaryota; Metazoa; Arthropoda; Arachnida; Araneae; Nephilidae. The record is from the annotation of a GenBank genome assembly.